Saccostrea cuccullata (small rock oyster) is the source of this 819-nucleotide long non-coding RNA. RefSeq lists it as uncharacterized. Lineage: Eukaryota; Metazoa; Mollusca; Bivalvia; Ostreida; Ostreidae. The transcript is spliced from 2 exons. The record is from RefSeq and is a predicted model, not a curated record.
GUACUAACAACCAAAUAAAGCAUUUUAUUGUUUUAAUUCUGUACACUACGUUUUAUUUCCUCAUUUAGAAAACGCCUUAGAUACUAAAGUCACGUCGCAUGUAACUUAAUAUUAACCUGCCAACAUACUAUUUUUUUCCUAUACAGGCGCAUUAAUCACUGAAAUUUAAUGUAGCCCAGGAAAGGAGAACAAUCCUUUUGAAAGUAUGGGCCAAGUAUGUGGUCAACACCAUACCCACAUUGCUAACGCCACCGAUGACACGAUUAAAAUUAUUUUGUCUGAUAACAACUAUAGAGAGACGACGCAAGUAAUCCACGCCAAAGAUUACGUCAAGAUCCCUACGGUGCAUGGGUCCGUUACCGUGAGCGUAUUUCUUAGCAAUGGAAAGGGAGGUUUUGCAGAAUAUGCUAAUGCCAGUUAUACGAAUGAAUCUAACAGAAAUUUUAUUGUGAAGGAAUACAUUGUUGGUCACGUCAAUAUUGUUAGAGCAACGUUUGGAACAGUAUGGAAAGAACAUAUUGGUUUACAAAUAACACCCGUUCAGCAGUUCUUUCAGAUAUGAACGCGUCAUGAUAAUUCUUUUCCAGAGUAUUUUCAAUAUUAAUCAAGUUAUGUAUUAAAAUAUUUACCAUGAGUUAAAUGGGAAAAAAAAGUGUACGAAAUAUUUCCUGUAAAAGAAUCUUAAUACAAAAUUAUAGCAUCUCAAAUCUUGAAAAUGGGAAAUCUUAAACAAAUAAUUAAAAUACAAUUUUCUGGAAGUUGCAUAUUUUGCGUAUUAAUGACUAGAAUUUGGAAUAAUUCCGUUUAUCUAAACUGUAA